This 253-nucleotide ribosomal RNA is filed under the name uncultured bacterium. Its description in RNAcentral is "partial 16S ribosomal RNA". It matches the Rfam family "Bacterial small subunit ribosomal RNA", at positions 524 to 776 of the family's 1533-position model. The record is from RNAcentral.
UACGGAGGUGGCUAGCGUUGUUCGGAAUUACUGGGCGUAAAGCGCACGUAGGCGGCUUUGUAAGUUAGAGGUGAAAGCCCGGGGCUCAACUCCGGAAUUGCCUUUAAGACUGCAUCGCUAGAAUUGUGGAGAGGUAAGUGGAAUUCCGAGUGUAGAGGUGAAAUUCGUAGAUAUUCGGAAGAACACCAGUGGCGAAGGCGACUUACUGGACAAAUAUUGACGCUGAGGUGCGAAAGCGUGGGGAGCAAACAGG